Molecule: long non-coding RNA, 1617 nt
Filed under: Brassica napus (rape)
Lineage: Eukaryota; Viridiplantae; Streptophyta; Magnoliopsida; Brassicales; Brassicaceae
Description: long non-coding RNA (BNAP_LNC011519)
Source: RNAcentral
UUUUGUGUGAUUGAUUGUAAUAUGAAAUUCAUUUUUCGAGUGUUGGAUAAAUUUGAUUAUUUGGAACAUUCGUUUACUAUACUACUUAGACUAUAUUGAAUAUAAGAUACGCAAUAUGCUAACCAAGUAAAUGUGAUUUCAAGUGUUUAAUAUUGGAAAACAAUUUAUAUAUUGUAUUUGGGUUUAUAGGUUUCUGUCUAAGGUUUAGAUUUACUAAGUAAAGGUUUGGGUAUAGUAAACCAUAUUAUAUAUGUUCUAUUUGGGUUUAUGCUUCCUUGAUUAGGGUUUAGCUUAAUCUAUUUAUUUAGGUUUAGGGUUUAGUAAUUAGGAUUUAGAGUUUGGAGUUUAGUAUUUAGUAUAGUUUAAUAUUACAUAAUAUUAUGCACUAUUUUAAGAUUUUAAUAUUUGGGUUAGGGUUCAAAUUUGGGUUCACGGUUUAAAUUUGGAUUUAGGGUUUAGUGAUUCUGGGUUUAGGGUUUAGUAAUUGGAAGGUGGGGGUUGAGGUUGGGGUCAACAUAACUUCUUACAUGCAAGCAUAUACAAUUCAUAAUUUCACCAAUAUGUACUAUACUAUUGAUUUUGUUCCAUUUUAUCUGAGUUUAGGGUUUAUAUUUGUAUUUGAAAUUUAUAUUUAGGUUUAGAAUUUAGUGAUUAGGGUUUAGGGUUUAGUAUUUGGAAAGUGGGGGUUGAUAUUGGGGCCAUCAUUAAUUUCUUACAUGCAAGUUUAGACAUUUCAUAAUUUCGUAAAUAUGUACUAUACUAUUUAUUUUAUUUCAUUCUAUUUAGGUUUAGAGUUUAUAUUUGGAUUUAGGAUUUAUAUUUUGGUUUUAGCUUUAGUGAAUAGGGUCUACCAUUUAGUAUUUAGGGUUAGGGUUUAAAUUUGGGUUUAGGGUUUACUGAUUUUGGGUUUAUGGUUUAGUAAUUGGAAGGUGGGGGUUGAGGUUGGGGUCAACAUAACUUCUUUCAUGCAAGCAUAUAUAUUUCAUAAUUUCACCAAUAUGUAUUAUACUAUUGAUUUGGUUCUAUUCUAUCUGAGUUUAUGGUUUAUAUUUGUAUUUAAGAUUUAUAUUUGGGUUUUGGAUUUAGUGAUUAGGGUUUAGGGUUUAGUAUUUAGUAUUUGGAAUGUGGGAGUUGAAAUUGGGGCCAUCAUUAACUUCUUACAUACAAUCCUAAACAUUUCAUAAUUUCGUAAAUAUGUACUAUAGUACUAUUUACUUUAUUUCAUUAUGUUUGGGUUUAGAGUUUAUAUUUGGAUUUAGAAUUUAUAUUUUAAUUUUGGCUUUAGUGAAUAACAUUUAGGAUUUAGUAUUUAGGGGUUGUGGAUGUGAUUGUGAUAGGCUUUAAUAUCUAGAGUAGAGAUGGAAUUGGUGUUCUAUAUUAUUUUGUUAAUAUGAAGUAAAUUGAAUACCAUUUAUUGCAGGAGUGUUUUAUUUUUGUCCACUUAUUUAUUGAACACAGUGAAAGUGAAACGUAUGCGGUUAUUUAAUACGUAACGUGGAAUGUGUAUCUUCCCUUUUAAGAUAAUAGUUCGUGGUAAAUAAUGGUCAUACAUGUUGUUCUCAAUAUCAUCUCACCAUCUCUCCUUUACCGGUUACAUGUAAGUCCAAGGGGUAAAAC